GAUUCCCUCAGUAAGGGCGACUGAAGCGGGAAGAGCUCAUUCUGUGAAUCUGCCCUGUGGUGCCGAGUUGUGGAAUGGAGAAGCACGUCAGCUGCAGCCCGGUCCAAGUCUUCUGGAAAGGAGCGCUUGAAAGGGUGACAGCCCCGUAUCUGGCUGGGUGUCUGUGGCAUUAGCAUGUGCCUUCGACGAGUCGAGUUGCUUGGGAUUGCAGCUCUAAGUGGGUGGUAAAUUCCAUCUAAAGCUAAAUAUCGGUGGGAGACCGAUAGCGUACAAGUACCGUGAGGGAAAGAUGCAAAGAACUUUGAAAAGAGAGUUAAAGAGUACCUGAAAUCGCUGAAAUGGAAGCGAAGGAAACCAGUGGCAUCUCCAACAUUUUCUCUCGUUGCUUGCGGCGAGGGCGCUGUGUUGGAGAGUCGGCCAGCAUGGGUUUGGACCGGCGGAAGACAUCCCCCAGGAGGCAGCUAGAUUCCUAGCAAUCACUGAGGGAUGGUGCGCUGGUCGAGACCGAGGCUAGUCACGUUUGUGCUCGUGAUGCUGGCGAAAUGGUUUUCUUUACCCCGUCUUGAAACACGGACCAAGGAGUCUAACAUAUGUGCGAGUAUAUGGGUGGCAAACCCACAUGCGAAAUGAAAGUAACAGUGGUAGGACCUUUUGGGCACUAUCCGCCGGCCAAUAUCCCUCGGGAGAACGGUCUGAGUGUGAGCAUACAUGUGGGGACCCGAAAGAUGGUGAACUAUGCCUGAAUAGGGUGAAGCCGCGGGAAACCGCGGUGGAGGCUCGUAACGUUCUGACGUGCAAAUCGAUCGUCAAAUUUGGG
This 817-nucleotide ribosomal RNA is filed under the name Chaetoceros muelleri. RNAcentral describes it as "Chaetoceros muellerii partial large subunit ribosomal RNA". It matches the Rfam family "Eukaryotic large subunit ribosomal RNA", at positions 73 to 915 of the family's 3401-position model. The record is from RNAcentral. Lineage: Eukaryota; Bacillariophyta; Thalassiosirophyceae; Chaetocerotales; Chaetocerotaceae.